GUAAAACCUGUUUCUUGAAUUUAAUCAUUCCAUCCUCUCUGCAGAUUCCCGUUAAUUUGCCCUUUGUUUCUUCCUCAAUUCUUCAGAUAUCAAAACUGCUGUAAUACUCCCCAGGGUUGUACAACUAGCCACGUUCAAGAACCACCGAUUACUGAUCUGACUGAGGAAUCAGCAAUGGAUUUCGACCAUAAUGAGAGACCUAAUUCCACGCUCUAC
This 216-nucleotide long non-coding RNA is filed under the name Coffea arabica (coffee). RNAcentral describes it as "long non-coding RNA (CARA_LNC002226)". The record is from RNAcentral. Lineage: Eukaryota; Viridiplantae; Streptophyta; Magnoliopsida; Gentianales; Rubiaceae.